Non-coding RNA from Cinara cedri, 461 nucleotides. The record is from the annotation of a GenBank genome assembly. NCBI's taxonomy places the organism in Eukaryota, Metazoa, Arthropoda, Insecta, Hemiptera, Aphididae.
UUUUAGAGCGGAAGAAGCUUUAUACUAAUCAACAAACCUACCUUCCACUAGAGAAUAAAAUUAAUAAAUUAUAGUUAAACAAUUUCAUGUCAAUAAAAAAUAAGUUCUAAAUCUUAGAGAGAUUUGCCCCAGGACGCAAAAUUUCUUAAUCCGACCCUGCAAACUACACAAGGUAUAUAACCACAUAUAUCCACGAUUAUAGCUUUGUAAUUAUUGUAAUAAAUUGGUACAACUCUAUUUUACAAAUGGAAAAGAUAUAUAGGUACCUAAUGUUGCUUAUUCUGGAAAGUUUCAUAUUUGUGAUUUGCAGUAACUUUAUCUGUAGGAUACAGACAUUCAUCAUCUAUUAAUUUAAAGUUAAUUCAAAAUGUGUAAGAUAAUUUAUUUUAUACACAAUUAGUAUUUGUUAAUCUCACUAUGAAAUAACAAUAAAUAAUACUUGGAAUGUAUUUUGACUAUUG